AGAGUUUGAUCCUGGCUCAGAACGAACGCUGGCGGCAGGCUUAACACAUGCAAGUCGAGCGCCCCGCAAGGGGAGCGGCAGACGGGUGAGUAACGCGUGGGAAUCUACCCAGCUCUACGGAAUAACCCAGGGAAACUUGGACUAAUACCGUAUACGUCCUCGGGAGAAAGAUUUAUCGGAGUUGGAUGAGCCCGCGUUGG
Molecule: ribosomal RNA, 200 nt
Filed under: uncultured bacterium
Lineage: Bacteria
Description: partial 16S ribosomal RNA
Rfam family: Bacterial small subunit ribosomal RNA
Source: RNAcentral